UGAGAAUUUCCACUAACAGUUUACCACCACGUUUCCAGCACUGUAAUGAAAUCUGAUUUACACAGAGUCUAGUAUGGUGCCUUAGCUGGACCAAUUAUUGUGGAGCCACAUGUCACAGCUGUAUGGGGAAAGAAUGUUUCAUUAAAGUGUUUAAUUGAAGUAAAUGAAACCAUAACGCAAAUUUCAUGGGAGAAGAUACAUGGCAAAAGUUCACAGACUGUUGCAGUUCACCAUCCCCAAUAUGGAUUCUCUGUUCAAGGAGAAUAUCAGGGAAGAGUCUUGUUUAAAAAUUACUCACUUAAUGAUGCAACAAUUACUCUGCAUAACAUAGGAUUCUCUGAUUCUGGAAAAUACAUCUGCAAAGCUGUUACAUUCCCGCUUGGAAAUGCCCAGUCCUCUACAACUGUAACUGUGUUAGUUGAACCCACUGUGAGCCUGAUAAAAGGGCCAGAUUCUUUAAUUGAUGGAGGAAAUGAAACAGUAGCAGCCAUUUGCAUCGCAGCCACUGGAAAACCCGUUGCACGUAUUGACUGGGAAGGUGAUCUUGGUGAAAU
This 554-nucleotide small RNA is filed under the name Pongo abelii (Sumatran orangutan). RNAcentral's name for it is "processed transcript". Lineage: Eukaryota; Metazoa; Chordata; Mammalia; Primates; Hominidae. The record is from RNAcentral.